UAAGCCUCUGUGACAGGGCAGAC
Molecule: non-coding RNA, 23 nt
Filed under: Mus musculus (house mouse)
Lineage: Eukaryota; Metazoa; Chordata; Mammalia; Rodentia; Muridae
Source: RNAcentral